GUGGGGAAUAUUGGACAAUGGGCGAAAGCCUGAUCCAGCCAUGCCGCGUGUGUGAAGAAGGUCUUCGGAUUGUAAAGCACUUUAAGUUGGGAGGAAGGGCAGUAAGUUAAUACCUUGCUGCUUUGACGUUACCGACAGAAUAAGCACCGGCUAACUUCGUGCCAGCAGCCGCGGUAAUACGAAGGGUGCAAGCGUUAAUCGGAAUUACUGGGCGUAAAGCGCGCGUAGGUGGUUUUGUAAGUUGGAGGUGAAAUCCCCGGGCUCAACCUGGGAACUGCCUCCAAAACUGCAUGACUAGAGUACGGUAGAGGGUAGUGGAAUUUCCUGUGUAGCGGUGAAAUGCGUAGAUAUAGGAAGGAACACCAGUGGCGAAGGCGACUACCUGGACUGAUACUGACACUGAGGUGCGAAAGCGUGGGGAGCAAACAGGAUUAGAAACCCGUGUAGUCC
This 450-nucleotide ribosomal RNA is filed under the name uncultured bacterium. RNAcentral's name for it is "partial 16S ribosomal RNA". It matches the Rfam family "Bacterial small subunit ribosomal RNA", at positions 354 to 796 of the family's 1533-position model. The record is from RNAcentral.